This 283-nucleotide ribosomal RNA is filed under the name uncultured Anaerostipes sp. RNAcentral describes it as "partial 16S ribosomal RNA". It matches the Rfam family "Bacterial small subunit ribosomal RNA", at positions 355 to 654 of the family's 1533-position model. Lineage: Bacteria; Bacillati; Bacillota; Clostridia; Lachnospirales; Lachnospiraceae. The record is from RNAcentral.
UGGGGAAUAUUGCACAAUGGGGGGAACCCUGAUGCAGCGACGCCGCGUGAGUGAAGAAGUAUUUCGGUAUGUAAAGCUCUAUCAGCAGGGAAGAAAAAAGACGGUACCUGACUAAGAAGCCCCGGCUAACUACGUGCCAGCAGCCGCGGUAAUACGUAGGGGGCAAGCGUUAUCCGGAAUUACUGGGUGUAAAGGGUGCGUAGGUGGCAUGGUAAGUCAGAAGUGAAAGCCCGGGGCUUAACCCCGGGACUGCUUUUGAAACUGUCAUGCUGGAGUGCAGGAG